AUUCCUUCUUCUUCACAUCACCUAUUUACAAAUUCAACUUCAGUUUCAGAAUUGAAUCUCAAUGUCAAAAACCAAUUCCAAUUUGUAUCUCACUUCUUUUGUUCUUCUCUGAUUUGAAUCACCAACACCAACAACCACCCACAACCACCAUUAUUCACCUCCGUCUGCCACCACUGCCUACCACCUACCGACCAUCAACACCACCCCCACCACCUUCGACCCCCGCCAGCACCACCACACGCCCCACCGUCUCCCUUCUCCUCUCCCACGAAUCCCCCUGCUCCCUCCCCUGUUUCUUUUUCUCUGUUCUUGCUCGCACCACCACCAACGCCACCACAACCAGCAUCCAUCCCUACCACUCUGCUUCUCCUGUCGACCACCACCACCACCACGCAGCAAACCCACCUCUCAGCCCCGCCUUUUCUCGUUCCCUCUUGCACUCCCCUCCUUUUUCUCCCUCUUAUCCGCGAACCGCAACCACGCGGCCAGCAUCGCCCAGCCACGCCGGCGUUUCCCGUCGACGACCACCAAGCCCAGCCACCUCCCCUUCCCCUCCUUCCCCCUUCGUCCCCCCUUGAGCCGUGCACCCCCUUCCCCUGUCGUGCCUUCUCCCAAAAAAAAACCAAAACAUAAAUCCAAUUUUUAAAACUUUUGUUUUUAUUUUUACCUCAAAUCCAAAUUAAGGUUGGGCCAAUUGAAUUGGGCCUUUGAAAUCGGACUCGGAGCUCAGGACGAACGAACCAAGGAAAAUCCUUAGCAAAAUUGUGGAAGUGAGGUACUGCGGGGAACGAUGAAAACGAGUAGUGGCGAGGAAUUUCACUUUAAUAUUAUUCACCUAGUUUAUGUCUAAAAGUUUUAAUAGUUUAAUUAAAGACUUUUAGUAAGUUAUGUACCUUAAUUUUGGGAAUAUAAAGGAUUAUUAUGUUAAUUUGGAGUUUUAAUGGCUUAGAAUAUGAUUGUUGCCUUGUAAUUCCCAAGAGGGAGUUACGGCAGGUAAUAUCCCGACCGAUCUAGGUUAAUUCCGCUGCUAAGUACGAUUUAAUUCUUGGAUUAGAGGUCGGGGUGUUACAGGCAUACUUUGUGAUCAUGAUGUGGAGUCUUUGGAAAACAAGGAAUGACAGAGUUUUCAGGGAAGAAGGGGGUCAUGCUAGAAUGGUCCUGCUUCAAGCAAGGUUAGGAAUGCAGCAAUAGGAGACUUUUCAGAAGAACAUCUACCAAAACGUGGUGGAAAAUCUUGAAGGAAAUCACCAGAUUCCCCCGGGUUUUGGCUAGUGCAACUAGGGCAAUCCAAAUGGGAAUUUGCUAACUUUGUUUUGCAGGUGGAUGGGUCCUGGGAUAAGAUAACUAUGAAGGCAGGCUAUGGGUGGGCCUAUAAGAGGGAGGAUAAUGAUCACUAUGAAGAUGGGGGAGGGGGAUAUGGGUGCAUUGGUUCAGCUCUACAAGUACAGGCACAUGCGUGUUUGCAGGGACUAAGAUGGGCAAAAACAGAGAGAGUUACAAAGAUACUGAUCUUAACUGACUGCUCAAUAUUGAUCAAUUCUCUACAACCGGGGAGUGCGAAAGAUAUUCAAAUACACUGGAUGAUCGGAUAAAUCAUAAUGGUCGCUCAAUGCUUUAGUGUAACACCUUAAUAAUUCCUUGCUUUUAUAAAAUCAUUUUCCAACUUAAAAUAAA
Long non-coding RNA from Spinacia oleracea (spinach), 1674 nucleotides. RefSeq lists it as uncharacterized. NCBI's taxonomy places the organism in Eukaryota, Viridiplantae, Streptophyta, Magnoliopsida, Caryophyllales, Amaranthaceae. The transcript is spliced from 3 exons. The record is from RefSeq and is a predicted model, not a curated record.